ACGGUGGAUGCCUUGGCACUAGGAGCCGAAGAAGGACGGAACGAACACCGAAAUGCUUUGGGGAGCUGUAAGUAAGCGAAGAACCAGAGAUAUCCGAAUGGGGGAACCCAGCAUGAGAAGUCAUGUUAUCCAUAUGCAUAGAGCAUAUGAGAAGGUAGACCCGGAGAACUGAAACAUCUAAGGACCCGGAGGAAGAGAAAACAAU
This 205-nucleotide ribosomal RNA is filed under the name Chloropicon mariensis. Its description in RNAcentral is "partial Bacterial large subunit ribosomal RNA". It matches the Rfam family "Bacterial large subunit ribosomal RNA", at positions 22 to 229 of the family's 2925-position model. Lineage: Eukaryota; Viridiplantae; Chlorophyta; Chloropicophyceae; Chloropicales; Chloropicaceae. The record is from RNAcentral.